Molecule: ribosomal RNA, 497 nt
Filed under: uncultured bacterium
Lineage: Bacteria
Description: partial 16S ribosomal RNA
Rfam family: Bacterial small subunit ribosomal RNA
Source: RNAcentral
GAUGAACGCUGGCGGCGUGCCUAAUACAUGCAAGUCGAGCGAACAGAUAAGGAGCUUGCUCCUGUGACGUUAGCGGCGGACGGGUGAGUAACACGUGGGUAACCUACCUAUAAGACUGGGAUAACUUCGGGAAACCGGAGCUAAUACCGGAUAACAUUUAGAACCGCAUGGUUCUAAAGGGAAAGAUGGUUUUGCUAUCACUUAUAGAUGGACCCGCGCCGUAUUAGCUAGUUGGUAAGGUAACGGCUUACCACGGCAACGAUACGUAGCCGACCUGAGAGUGUGAUCGGCCACACUGGAACUGAGACACGGUCCCGACUCCUACGCGAGGCAGCAGCAGGGAAUCUUCAGCAAAGGGCGAAAGCCUGACGGAGCAACGCCGCGUGAGUGAUGAAGGUUAUCGGCUCGUAGAACUCUGUUAUUAGGGAAGAACAAACGUGUAAGUAACUGUGCGCGUCUUGACGGUACCUAAUCAGAAAGCCACGGCUAACUACGUG